GUGGGGAAUUUUGGACAAUGGGCGCAAGCCUGAUCCAGCAAUGCCGCGUGAGUGAAGAAGGCCUUCGGGUUGUAAAGCUCUUUUGUCAGGGAAGAAACGGUGCGGAUUAAUACUCUGCGCUAAUGACGGUACCUGAAGAAUAAGCACCGGCUAACUACGUGCCAGCAGCCGCGGUAAUACGUAGGGUGCAAGCGUUAAUCGGAAUUACUGGGCGUAAAGCGUGCGCAGGCGGUUUUGUAAGUCUGUCGUGAAAGCCCCGGGCUCAACCUGGGAAUUGCGAUGGAGACUGCAAGGCUUGAAUCUGGCAGAGGGGGGUAGAAUUCCACGUGUAGCAGUGAAAUGCGUAGAGAUGUGGAGGAACACCGAUGGCGAAGGCAGCCCCCUGGGUCAAGAUUGACGCUCAUGCACGAAAGCGUGGGGAGCAAACAGGAUUAGAAACCCUAGUAGUCC
RNAcentral lists this ribosomal RNA (450 nucleotides) under uncultured bacterium. Its description in RNAcentral is "bacterial SSU rRNA". It matches the Rfam family "Bacterial small subunit ribosomal RNA", at positions 354 to 796 of the family's 1533-position model. The record is from RNAcentral.